UGUGUCUAAACGACUCUCGGCAACGGAUAUCUCGGCUCUCGCAUCGAUGAAGAACGUAGCGAAAUGCGAUACUUGGUGUGAAUUGCAGAAUCCCGUGAACCAUCGAGUCUUUGAACGCAAGUUGCGCCCGAAGCCGUCAGGCCGAGGGCACGCCUGCCUGGGCGUCACA
This 169-nucleotide ribosomal RNA is filed under the name Sibiraea altaiensis. RNAcentral's name for it is "5.8S ribosomal RNA". It matches the Rfam family "5.8S ribosomal RNA". From Rfam's summary of the family: 5.8S ribosomal RNA (5.8S rRNA) is a component of the large subunit of the eukaryotic ribosome. RNAcentral also lists the same sequence under 1 other name. Lineage: Eukaryota; Viridiplantae; Streptophyta; Magnoliopsida; Rosales; Rosaceae. The record is from RNAcentral.